GUAGUCCUACGGGAGGCAGCAGUGGGGGAUAUUGCACAAUGGGGGGAACCCUGAUGCAGCGACGCCGCGUGGGUGAAGAAGCGCCUCGGCGCGUAAAGCCCUGUCAGCAGGGAAGAAAAUGACGGUACCUGAAGAAGAAGCCCCGGCUAACUACGUGCCUGCAGCCGCGGUAAUACGUAGGGGGCAAGCGUUAUCCGGAUUUACUGGGUGUAAAGGGGGCGCAGACGGCGAUGCAAGCCAGGAGUGAAAGCCCGGGGCCCAACCCCGGGACUGCUCUUGGAACUGCGUGGAUGUAGUG
This 298-nucleotide ribosomal RNA is filed under the name uncultured bacterium. RNAcentral describes it as "partial 16S ribosomal RNA". It matches the Rfam family "Bacterial small subunit ribosomal RNA", at positions 333 to 648 of the family's 1533-position model. The record is from RNAcentral.